This 1014-nucleotide ribosomal RNA is filed under the name Triticum aestivum (bread wheat). RNAcentral's name for it is "partial small subunit ribosomal RNA". Lineage: Eukaryota; Viridiplantae; Streptophyta; Magnoliopsida; Poales; Poaceae. The record is from RNAcentral.
AUGGGCAACGAUUUUUGGUCAUCAAUUUUGCGACUUAUAAACUAUUUUGAGCCACUAGCAUUUGUACUUAGAAGGGUGGAUGGAGAUGUUCCUGCUAUGGGUUACCUUUAUGGUGAUCUUGAAAAUGCAAGAAAGGAAAUUGCUGUCCGUUUUGAUGGAAAUGCAAAGAAAUAUGGUUUCAUUUGGGAUAUUAUAGACGAAAGGUGGAACGACAAACUCAAGACUCCAUUGCAUAAAGCUGGAUAUUACUUGAAUCCAUUCUUUUAUUAUGAGAACAAGGCAGAGUUGGAGGAAGAGGUUUUCGUCGCAGCAGUUGUACAGUGUGCAGGUCGCGUGUACCAUGAUAAUGACAAAUUACAAGACAUGAUUGUUGCCCAGCUAAAUAUGUACACUAAUGGCACUGAUUCUUUUGGCUCUACAAUGGCUAUUCGACAAAGGAAAACAAAUUGGUGGGCGGCACAUGGCACGGAUGCAAAGGAAUUAAGAAAGAUGGCUAUCAAGAUUCUAAAUUUGACGUGUAGCUCAUCUGCGUGUGAAAGGAAUUGGAGUGCAUUUGAGAGGGUCCAUACCAAGAAAAGGACGAGAUUAACACAGAAGAGAUUGAAUUCUGUUGUCUAUGUCAUGUUUAACAAGAGGCUUCAGUGGAAGUAUGCUCAAAGGAAGAGAGACCCAUUAGCUGUAAAGUUUGUUGAUGAUGAACCACCGAAUGAGUGGAUUGAAGGGGAGGCGACCGUUGAAGGGCAGCAGCAAGAAAAUAUUGUUGAAGAACAAGAUGGAGAAGGUGAAAAUGCAUCUGAUUAUGAUGGUGAACAAGAUGAACCGGCUCAGGCUGGCGUAAAUGAGAAGAAGAGAGCACUAAGCAAAGGUUCGUCGAGCAAGUCAAAGAGAGCCCGCACCAUGGAGGCUGAAGAAGAGUCUUCUGACUGUGACGAAGAUGAUACAGCCAUGCAGUUGAUGGACAAUUCUUCAAGUGAUGAUGGAGAGAAUGAGGACAAUUUACUUGAUGAUGACUAA